AAGACGAAUAAGUCGUUUAAAGUUCUAGAUAAAAGAUUUAUAAUGAAUAAUUUUUAUCUAUAAGUCUUGACCAAAUUACGUGCCAGCAGUCGCGGUAAUACGUAGAAGACAAGUGUUAUUCAUCUUUAACAGGUUUAAAGGGUACCUAGACGGAAAAUCAAGCCAUAGCAGGGACUAGUUUUCUAGGGUUUUAUGGGUGAAGAUCGAAUUAUCUGAGAAGCAAUAUAAUGCUAUGAUACAGGUGAGACGGGCCGCGGCGAAGGCAAUCUUCUAUGUAAAAACUGACGUUGAGGGACGAAGCCUUGGGGAGCGAUAAGGAUUAGAUACCCUAGUAGUCCAAGGAGAAAAUGAUGAGUGCCAUAGACUAGGUACUAGUUUAUAAAUGAAAGUGUAAGCAUUCCACCUCAUAAGUAAAGCGGCAACGCCGAAAUUGAAAUCAUUAGACCGUAUCUGAAACCAGUAGUGAAGUAUGUUAUUUAAUUCGAUGGUCCGCGAAUAACCUUACCACCUCUUGAAUAAUAUUUUUUUUUGUUUUGGGAUUUAUUUUUCUUACAAGCGCUGCACGGCUGUCUUCAGUUAAUAUCGUGAGAUUUUGGUUAGCUCCAUAAAUUAACGAAAACCCUUGUUUUAUUUUUUUAUAUAUAAAGCAGUUCACCGUUAUAUUGGAUAAGAUAAACGGGAUCA
RNAcentral lists this ribosomal RNA (684 nucleotides) under Knufia sp. LS-2015d. RNAcentral describes it as "SSU rRNA". It matches the Rfam family "Bacterial small subunit ribosomal RNA", at positions 410 to 1171 of the family's 1533-position model. Lineage: Eukaryota; Fungi; Ascomycota; Eurotiomycetes; Chaetothyriales; Trichomeriaceae. The record is from RNAcentral.